UGCCAGCCGCCGCGGUAAUACGAAGGGACCUAUCGUAGUUCGGAAUUACUGGGCUUAAAGAGCUCGUAGGUGGUUAAAAAAGUUGAUGGUGAAAUCCCAGGGCUCAACCUUGGAACUGCCAUCAAAACUUUUUAGCUAGAGUGUGAUAGAGGUAAGUGGAAUUUCUAGUGUAGAGGUGAAAUUCGUAGAUAUUCGGAGGAACACCAAUUGCGAAGGCAGUUCACUGGACCGUGAUCGACGCUGAGGAGCGAAAGCUAGGGGAGCAAACAGGAUUAGAUA
This 279-nucleotide ribosomal RNA is filed under the name uncultured bacterium. RNAcentral's name for it is "partial 16S ribosomal RNA". It matches the Rfam family "Bacterial small subunit ribosomal RNA", at positions 506 to 784 of the family's 1533-position model. The record is from RNAcentral.